CCUCGGGGGGCUGCAGUGGGGAAUAUUGGACAAUGGGGGGAACCCUGAUCCAGCCAUGCCGCGUGUGUGAAGAAGGCCCUCGGGUUGUAAAGCACUUUCAGUGAGGAAGAACGCCUGGUGGUUAAUACCCAUCAGGAAAGACAUCACUCACAGAAGAAGCACCGGCUAACUCCGUGCCAGCAGCCGCGGUAAUACGGAGGGUGCGAGCGUUAAUCGGAAUUACUGGGCGUAAAGCGCGCGUAGGUGGCUUGAUAAGCCGGUUGUGAAAGCCCCGGGCUCAACCUGGGAACGGCAUCCGGAACUGUCAAGCUAGAGUGCAGGAGAGGAAGGUAGAAUUCCCGGUGUAGCGGUGAAAUGCGUAGAGAUCGGGAGGAAUACCAGUGGCGAAGGCGGCCUUCUGUACUGACACUGACACUGAGGUGCGAAAGCGUGGGUAGCAAACAGGAUUAGAUACCCGAGUAGUC
This 464-nucleotide ribosomal RNA is filed under the name Vreelandella stevensii. RNAcentral's name for it is "partial 16S ribosomal RNA". It matches the Rfam family "Bacterial small subunit ribosomal RNA", at positions 339 to 795 of the family's 1533-position model. Lineage: Bacteria; Pseudomonadati; Pseudomonadota; Gammaproteobacteria; Oceanospirillales; Halomonadaceae. The record is from RNAcentral.